RNAcentral lists this ribosomal RNA (265 nucleotides) under Proteus mirabilis. RNAcentral's name for it is "partial 23S ribosomal RNA". It matches the Rfam family "Bacterial large subunit ribosomal RNA", at positions 1084 to 1348 of the family's 2925-position model. RNAcentral also lists the same sequence under 1 other name. The record is from RNAcentral. Lineage: Bacteria; Pseudomonadati; Pseudomonadota; Gammaproteobacteria; Enterobacterales; Morganellaceae.
CUCAGACAGCCAGGAUGUUGGCUUAGAAGCAGCCAUCAUUUAAAGAAAGCGUAAUAGCUCACUGGUCGAGUCGGCCCGCGCGGAAGAUGUAACGGGGCUAAACCAUGCACCGAAGCUGCGGCAGCGACACAAAGUGUUGUUGGGUAGGGGAGCGUUCUGUAAGCCUGCGAAGGUGUACUGUGAGGUAUGCUGGAGGUAUCAGAAGUGCGAAUGCUGACAUAAGUAACGAUAAUGCGGGUGAAAAACCCGCACGCCGGAAGACCAA